Molecule: ribosomal RNA, 623 nt
Filed under: uncultured Bacilli bacterium
Lineage: Bacteria; Bacillati; Bacillota; Bacilli
Description: bacterial SSU rRNA
Rfam family: Bacterial small subunit ribosomal RNA
Source: RNAcentral
GGCGGACGGGUGAGUAACACGUGGGUAACCUACCCAUCAGAGGGGGAUAACACUUGGAAACAGGUGCUAAUACCGCAUAACAGUUUAUGCCGCAUGGCAUAAGAGUGAAAGGCGCUUUCGGGUGUCGCUGAUGGAUGGACCCGCGGUGCAUUAGCUAGUUGGUGAGGUAACGGCUCACCAAGGCCACGAUGCAUAGCCGACCUGAGAGGGUGAUCGGCCACACUGGGACUGAGACACGGCCCAGACUCCUACGGGAGGCAGCAGUAGGGAAUCUUCGGCAAUGGACGAAAGUCUGACCGAGCAACGCCGCGUGAGUGAAGAAGGUUUUCGGAUCGUAAAACUCUGUUGUUAGAGAAGAACAAGGACGUUAGUAACUGAACGUCCCCUGACGGUAUCUAACCAGAAAGCCACGGCUAACUACGUGCCAGCAGCCGCGGUAAUACGUAGGUGGCAAGCGUUGUCCGGAUUUAUUGGGCGUAAAGCGAGCGCAGGCGGUUUCUUAAGUCUGAUGUGAAAGCCCCCGGCUCAACCGGGGAGGGUCAUUGGAAACUGGGAGACUUGAGUGCAGAAGAGGAGAGUGGAAUUCCAUGUGUAGCGGUGAAAUGCGUAGAUAUAUGGAGGAA